GUGUGAUAAUUAAAUAGAUGUAUAUAAACGGUUGGCAUCCUUUUUAAGAAGAUGUAGUACUUGAACAUGUUGAGAUUACGGGUUUGCUAACCAAGUUAUUAUUGAGCAUGUUUGAAAGUGCAGGUUUAUGUAUGUCGGACUUUCGAAGUAUUGAUAUAGAAAUGAAACGAUUGAAUGUUGGAAGGAUAAUUGGGUGGAAGUAACUUAUGCGGUUAGAAUUUUAGUUUAUACAAUAUUUUAUGCUUGGUCGUCAUCAUCUACUAACGGGUAAAUCCUCAAUUUAGGCGACUUGGAGAAUCGGAGCGAGCGCGUGUUCAUGUUAUGUCAUACCAAACGCUUCCGCUAGUUUGUCCAAAUGUUUUUGGUCCAAAAUUUGUUGUAAUGGUUUUUAGUAGUAUUUUGUUGAACGAAUCGUAGAAUUGUAUCUAGUUUGAUUAUGAUUAAAACAGGGGUAUGCCCGUUUUACGGACGGGUCAUGCCCAAAUUUUGUUAAAAUUAAUGCAUAUGUUAUUGAUAUCA
This is a long non-coding RNA of Helianthus annuus (common sunflower), 519 nucleotides long. RefSeq lists it as uncharacterized. The record is from RefSeq and is a predicted model, not a curated record. Lineage: Eukaryota; Viridiplantae; Streptophyta; Magnoliopsida; Asterales; Asteraceae. The transcript is spliced from 2 exons.